This 66-nucleotide transfer RNA is filed under the name Eurycercus lamellatus. Its description in RNAcentral is "tRNA-Cys". The record is from RNAcentral. Lineage: Eukaryota; Metazoa; Arthropoda; Branchiopoda; Diplostraca; Eurycercidae.
UGUAUUGUAGUGUAAUUAAACAUAAAGGAUUGCAAAUUCUUAGAUAUUAUCAAAUAAUCAAUACUU